CUUCGCGGACCCCAGCCACAGCGGGCGCUCGCGGUUCUGCCCGUACGUGGCGAGCACCGCCUGCGCCUC
Molecule: antisense RNA, 69 nt
Filed under: Kutzneria viridogrisea DSM 43870
Lineage: Bacteria; Bacillati; Actinomycetota; Actinomycetes; Pseudonocardiales; Pseudonocardiaceae
Description: Kutzneria albida DSM 43870 ASpks TB sRNA
Rfam family: ASpks TB sRNA
Source: Rfam by way of RNAcentral